Molecule: ribosomal RNA, 253 nt
Filed under: uncultured bacterium
Lineage: Bacteria
Description: partial 16S ribosomal RNA
Rfam family: Bacterial small subunit ribosomal RNA
Source: RNAcentral
UACGUAGGGUGCGAGCGUUGUCCGGAAUUAUUGGGCGUAAAGGGCUCGUAGGCGGUCCAUCGCGUCGGGAGUGAAAAGCUGGGGCUUAACCCCAGUCCUGCUUUCGAUACGGGUGGACUAGAGGUAGGCAGGGGAGAAUGGAAUUCCUGGUGUAGCGGUGAAAUGCGCAGAUAUCAGGAGGAACACCAGUGGCGAAGGCGACUUCCUGGCCUGUUCUUGACGCUGAGGCGCGAAAGCUAGGGGAGCAAACGGG